Molecule: ribosomal RNA, 477 nt
Filed under: Acrapex sp. ACKEG7227
Lineage: Eukaryota; Metazoa; Arthropoda; Insecta; Lepidoptera; Noctuidae
Description: partial 16S large subunit ribosomal RNA
Source: RNAcentral
UGUCUUUUUGUAAAUAAUGUAAAGUCUAAUCUGCCCACUGAUGUUAAUAUUAAAGGGCUGCAGUAUAUUGACUGUACAAAGGUAGCAUAAUCAUUAGUCAUUUAAUUGGUGACUUGUAUGAAAGAUUGGAUGAAAUAUAAACUGUCUCUUAGUUAAAGAUAAAAAUUAAUUUUUUAAUUAAAAAGUUAAAAUGAUUUAAAAAGACGAGAAGACCCUAUAGAGUUUUAUAGAUUAAUUGGAUUAAGAUUUUUUAAUAAUAUAAAAUUAAAAUUAAAUUAUUUAUUUUAUUGGGGUGAUAAAAAAAUAUAUGUAACUUUUUUUAUAUUAAAAACAUGUAUAAGUGAUUAAAUGAUCCAAUAUUAUUGAUUAUAAGAAAAAUUACCUUAGGGAUAACAGCGUAAUUUUUUUUUUUAGUUCGUAUAAGAAAAAGAGUUUGCGACCUCGAUGUUGGAUUAAGAUAAAAUUUAAAUGUAGAAG